RNAcentral lists this ribosomal RNA (255 nucleotides) under uncultured prokaryote. Its description in RNAcentral is "partial 16S ribosomal RNA". It matches the Rfam family "Bacterial small subunit ribosomal RNA", at positions 523 to 777 of the family's 1533-position model. The record is from RNAcentral.
AUACGUAGGUGGCGAGCGUUGUCCGGAUUUACUGGGCGUAAAGAGCGCGCAGGCGGUCGACUAAGUCGAGUGUGAAAGCCCCCGGCUCAACUGGGGAGGGUCACUCGGUACUGGUCGACUCGAAGGCAGGAGAGGGAAGUGGAAUUCCCGGUGUAGUGGUGAAAUGCGUAGAUAUCGGGAGGAACACCAGUGGCGAAGGCGACUUCCUGGCCUGUUCUUGACGCUGAGGCGCGAAAGCUAGGGGAGCAAACGGGA